GGCUUAGUGGUGUAGCUUGGUUAUUAUACCCGGGCGAAUGCUCUAGGAGGUCGUGGGUUCGAAUCCCACCUAUGCCU
Non-coding RNA from Chaetomium strumarium, 77 nucleotides. Lineage: Eukaryota; Fungi; Ascomycota; Sordariomycetes; Sordariales; Chaetomiaceae. The record is from the annotation of a RefSeq genome assembly.